GCGAACCUUACUGUAUGUUCUCAGGUCCCAAUCACUAAGCCUAGGCCUUGACAAGAUGAAGUGGGCGAGCCCCACUUAGCAUGCUCUGGACUGCUGUGCUGGAGAAAUGACAGGGUCUUAACACCCCCAAGCAUUCAUAAUCACCUCAGAGACAGCAUGUAAGCUCUCAGCUGCAGUUCCAGUGCCAUGCCUGCCCGCGUGCUGCCAUGGUUGCCACCAGGACGGUCGUGGACUCAUCCCUCUGAAACUGAGUUCACCAUCUAGUCCUAGAACUGGCGGGGAUCUCAGGUCUAACCACCAUCUGGCCUCCUUCUUUUGUCAGGGUCUCACUUUGCAGCCCUGGCUAGCCCAGAACUCACAGAGGUCUACCAGCUUCUUCAUCCUCCAUGCUGGGGUUCAAGGAGAGCACCAGAGGGGAACAGAACGCACAGCUGAUUAAAAAUAGCUGCUACGGACUAUUCCUUCCAUUCUUACUGGUUUAUGGUUUUGCCAAAAGAAGAAAAACAGCCUGGAUUUGACCCUGAAGGAAAACAGCAAGCGUUCCUUCCGCCUAUUGAUCCGAUUUCAUUUCCCCUCAAGUGAUCUCACUGA
Mus caroli (Ryukyu mouse) is the source of this 591-nucleotide non-coding RNA. Lineage: Eukaryota; Metazoa; Chordata; Mammalia; Rodentia; Muridae. The record is from RefSeq and is a predicted model, not a curated record.